UGCAAGUCGAGCGGUAAGNNCCUUCGUUGUUCACGNGCGGGAACGGGUGAGUAACNCGUGGGUGAUCUGUCCUGUACUUCUGGAUAAGCCUGGGAAACUGGGUCUAAUACCGGAUAUGACCUAGGACUGCAUGGUUUUUGGUGGAAAGGUUUACUGGUGCAGGAUGGGCCCGNGGCCUAUCAGCUUGUUGGUGGGGUAAUGGUCUACCAAGGCGACGACGGGUAGCCGACCUGAGAGGGUGACCGGCCACACUGGGACUGAGACACUGCCCAUACUCCUACGGGAGGCAUCAUUGGGGAAUAUUGCACAAUGGGCGAAAGCCUGAUGCAGCGACGCCGCGUGAGGGAUGACGGUCUUCGGGUUGUAAACCUCUUUCAGCAGGGACUAAUCGAAAGUGACGGUACCUGCAGAAGAAGCACCGGCCAACUACGUGCCAGCAGCCGCGGUAAUACGUAGGGUGCAAGCGUUGUCCGGAAUUACUGGGCGUAAAGAGCUCGUAGGCGGUUUGUCGCGUCGUCUGUGAAAACUCGAGGCUCAACUUCGAGCUUGCAGGNGAUACGGGCAGACUUGAGUACUGCAGGGGAGACUGGAAUUCCUGGUGUAGCGGUGAAAUGCGCAGAUAUCANGAGGAACUCCGGUGGCGAAGGCGGGUCUCUGGGCAGUAACUGACGCUGAGGAGCGAAAGCGUGNGUAUCGAACAGGAUUAGAUAC
Molecule: ribosomal RNA, 711 nt
Filed under: Rhodococcus sp. LKS-208
Lineage: Bacteria; Bacillati; Actinomycetota; Actinomycetes; Mycobacteriales; Nocardiaceae
Description: bacterial SSU rRNA
Rfam family: Bacterial small subunit ribosomal RNA
Source: RNAcentral